CCGUGCUGCUUCUCCUCUCCCACCGCCCAGCCCUGCGGAACGAUACGUGGUAUUGCUUCCUCACCGCACUUCGGUUUUUCUGCUGAGAAAACCUGCAGCUUUGGAUUUGCACCUGUCAUCCCAGAUUCCUAUCAGUCCUUCAGUACUCCUCGGGGCUGCACAGCUGAGAUGAGUGGAUGUGCUGGCUGGGAGGAUGCCUUGCCUGCAAUACCUGGUGGAAGGUAUGGCAAUCUCUCUCAGGCACCCAUUAAUCCAAAUGCCACAUUGUCUCCUGAGCACCUGGCCAGCCAAACAAAUUGUUUAAUUGUUCAAAUGUGCUCUUCAAACCUGAUCUAGAACUUUCCACACCUCCUUCAGUCUGCCUUUUUGUUGCAGAGUUCAAGAAGUGACAUGCAGCUGCACAGCCACCGCUCCUCUGAAUUCUCCUGCCCUUCUCAGUAUUUAGCAGGCAUUGUGCAAGCUGUGAAUUCGUUUCUGUGAUAAGACCUUGAGAACACAUUGGGCCUGUCUCCCUUUCUGGAAUUCAGAGGCUGCUUCAAAGAUGUAAAGAGCUGUUUGACA
Non-coding RNA from Cyanistes caeruleus (blue tit), 561 nucleotides. Lineage: Eukaryota; Metazoa; Chordata; Aves; Passeriformes; Paridae. The record is from RefSeq and is a predicted model, not a curated record.